UCAGUGAAAUGAUCAUAAGUUUGACACCUAACGAGCUAGGUGGAGGCUUGGGAAAGGAAGCGGGUCAAACAAAUCAAGAAAGGAGGAAAAGCACAAUUCGGAUGCAAUGUACUCUAUGGAAUGCCGGAAGACGAUCAAGCUCAAUGAAGAACCGAACACGAUAAAGACUCAUGCUUCCGCACAUUGCCUCGUUGUAAAUUUUAACGACGAAUCCAAUCACGUUUGUAGAAUAGCUUAUGAAUUAUAAAAGUUUUAAUUUA
This is a long non-coding RNA of Helianthus annuus (common sunflower), 260 nucleotides long. RefSeq lists it as uncharacterized. The transcript is spliced from 3 exons. The record is from RefSeq and is a predicted model, not a curated record. NCBI's taxonomy places the organism in Eukaryota, Viridiplantae, Streptophyta, Magnoliopsida, Asterales, Asteraceae.